UUUCCGUAGGUGAACCUGCGGAAGGAUCAUUAUUGAAUGAACUUGGCGUGGUUGUGCUGGCCCUCUCGGGGGCAUGUGCUCACUCGCCAUUCUCAUCUCUCCACCUGUGCACCUCUUGUAGACUUGGACUUGACUUUCCGAGGGAACUCGGUCGGGAGGACUGCUGGCAAUUCAGCUGGCUGUCCUCGCAUUUCCAAGCCUACGUUUUUCAUAUACCCCAUUGUAUGUAACAGAAUGUAUCAUUAGGCCCUUGUGCCUAUAAAACUUAUACAACUUUCAGCAACGGAUCUCUUGGCUCUC
This 300-nucleotide unclassified non-coding RNA is filed under the name plant metagenome. Its description in RNAcentral is "partial contains small subunit ribosomal RNA, internal transcribed spacer 1, and 5.8S ribosomal RNA". The record is from RNAcentral.